GCCAUCAAUGGGGACCAGCACCCACUGGAGCACCCUGCCAUGGAGCUCUUCCCGGACCGUGACGCCCGCGCCAGCCCUGUCUCCCUCCCUGUGGACUGCCCCUACCCCAGGAGGGAUGUGUCUUCUGGGACCAGCCAGCCCACCUGGGUGCCCUUGGUCUCCACUGUGUCCAAG
Non-coding RNA from Struthio camelus australis, 174 nucleotides. The record is from RefSeq and is a predicted model, not a curated record. Lineage: Eukaryota; Metazoa; Chordata; Aves; Struthioniformes; Struthionidae.